RNAcentral lists this ribosomal RNA (253 nucleotides) under uncultured bacterium. Its description in RNAcentral is "partial 16S ribosomal RNA". It matches the Rfam family "Bacterial small subunit ribosomal RNA", at positions 524 to 776 of the family's 1533-position model. The record is from RNAcentral.
GACAGAGGUCCCGAGCGUUAGGCGGAAUCACUGGGCUUAAAGCGUGUGUAGGCGGAUUGCUAAGUACCUUGUGAAAUCCCACGGCUUAACCGUGGAACUGCUUGGUAUACUGGCUGUCUUGAGCCACUUAGGGGCAACCGGAACAAACGGUGGAGCGGUGAAAUGCGUAGAUAUCGUUUGGAACGCCAAUGGUGAAAACAGGUUGCUGGGAGUGUGCUGACGCUGAGACACGAAAGCCAGGGGAGCAAACGGG